RNAcentral lists this long non-coding RNA (306 nucleotides) under Heterocephalus glaber (naked mole-rat). RNAcentral describes it as "lncRNA (ENSHGLG00000039672.1)". Lineage: Eukaryota; Metazoa; Chordata; Mammalia; Rodentia; Bathyergidae. The record is from RNAcentral.
CAGGCUACCUGUUGAAGGACAUCUUGUUUGAUCCCAGUCUUUGAGAAUCAUGAAGGGAGCUGCGGUACAAUUUUGUGUGGACAGAAAGAAGUUUUCUCCUCAUCGAGGGUUUCAUCCAGGACACACGUUCUGUUCAGUUGUCCUAUCUCCUUGGGCUUUCUUGAUUGCACUGAAAUGUAUCAUUUGGUGGGGGGAUGCACACCAGGGCCUCACACAAGCCAGACAAGCGCUCUGACACUGAGCCGAACCCUCAGCCCAAAAUGAAUUUGGAUGCGGGUCACUGGAUCUCUGUUAAAGGAUUCUUAC